Molecule: non-coding RNA, 124 nt
Organism: Hordeum vulgare subsp. vulgare (domesticated barley)
Lineage: Eukaryota; Viridiplantae; Streptophyta; Magnoliopsida; Poales; Poaceae
Source: Rfam
UACAUACUCCCUCCGUCCAGAAAUACUUGUCCUAAAAAUUGAUAUAAUGGAUGUAUCUAUAACUAAAGUAAGUCUAGAUUCAUCCAUUUCUAGGACAAUUAUUUCCGGACGGAGGGAGUAGUUC